UGCAUCAACACAUACUAAAAAAGGCCCUAGAAGUUUUUUUCCACUUUUUUUUACUAUCCUUGAUAAAGAUGAAAGUGACAGUUUCUUAAAUUAGGUAUGUAGUAGUGAUAAAAUACAUUCCCAAGAUUAAAUGUAUUGAUUUCAUCUCAGCCUGCCUGCCAACAACGGCAAAAAUUAUAUUGCUGUGAAAGGCACCGUAUCUCGAGUUCUGAUCUAGUUCGAUCUCGCAAGUUCCCAAUUCUAAAACCCGUCACUCAUCUUGCUGUUUCCUGAUCAAUGUUUCUGUGCAGCGCUGAGCCUCGACCCAAUUAGUACCACUUAACAGCUGGUUACUGCCCACGGAAAUCACCUUCCAUUUUGCAUUGUGACUGAACCAUAAACCACCUGAGAGAAAGAAAUGCAAUUACCAGCGUCUAUCACUUUUUUGUGAUUCUUUCAGCCCUUGGUAUUAAUGUAGAGCCUGUGACAUGAACCCCAGCCUUCUGGAAUCACCACCCAUGUGAGAUGCACAGGCCCCCUGCAGUGUUUGUGGCUGCUCUGAUUUAUGCUUGGUGUUGCGUUACCAACGUCUUUAUAUUAAGGUCAGGGCUGUUUUUCCUUUGCAUACUGAAGAAUGUAGUACUUGUUUCCUCCUUAAUUGAAAAAGAACAACAACAAGAACAACAAAAAAAAACAACUGAAAACCAAAGGAUUCGGUUUGUCCUCCGAGUAUACUACUUGACCUGUAAACGUGCACGUCUUCCGGAGGAGUAAUCCUGAAAAAUCUGUUUCGUGUGGUAUUGAAUUAAAUCCGAACCGGCAUUUUACUAUUCCACAGGGGGAAAAAAACUGUCUGGGAUACAUUUGGAAAAAAGAAAAUUCGCCCUUACCCUUUUCAAACAUCACUGGCCACUCUGAUGUAAAGCGGACGUGGCAGAGAGAUGCAGAAAGGGGGAAAAAACACCUUGAUUUGGUAAAAUGAUGGAUUUGGUCGUUCACUCAGAGCACAGUCUUCUGGGUAACUAGCAUAUUUACAGCACCAGCCCAGGUAAAGUAAUAUAGACUCCAGGUUCAGCAAAGAAGACAGAACACUCAAGUUCUGGAUUUUAAAUAUGCUUAGAAAUUAAAUUUGUUGGUCUCUUCUGGUGAUACUGACACUCAGUCAGGUAUACAGAUAAGAAUGUAUUUUUUUUAAAUGGUGAUACAGCACACAUUCCCCUACACAGCAGAAAAUGAAUUUUAAAUCCCCAUCUAUUUUUUUCUUUUGCAACCCAGACACAUGAUAAUAAAUAAUUGGAAAUGAAGCUGUUUUGCAAACAUGUCAGUUUAUGUAGGCCAUAGCUAUCCUGGUGGCGAAGAUCGAGGGCAUUCACAGCUGUCAAGAGUUUAUCUUUUUCACAUUUAUUGUAUCCUUGCAGCCAAAUUCAGGAGUGAAGCGAAUUGUGGAAUUCUGCAUGGAGCUUUAAAGGUUAGGUAUGGUUUCCUGAGAAUCUGCAGACAAUGGGAUGGCUAUAAGGAGCUCGAAGAGCUGGGAUUUGAGCGCUGUUUCCACAGUGUUGCUAUGGAAUAAAUGUGCGGAGACCAGGAAUGGGCCAACUCAAGUCCUUCAGUGGACUGGAUCUUAACUAACUGAACUAAUCAUUAGAAGGAAAACAUCUGACUUUAUGGGUUCUAAACUGCUUAUUGAAAAACCAGCAUGAAUCCCGACCACGAGGAGUAAAGUCGACACUUCCUGGCGUAGGGGAACUUGGAUAUUCUGCCCAACAACAAGCUCACACGAGCACGCUACCACUUCACACGCUGGCCCGACCCCAGGGCCAGAUUUGAUCUCGACCUGUAACUCCUAUAGUCUUCCAGCAGAGGGCACUCCAGCCAUGCAGCCCCUGCCUGCUAAACACUGUGCCAGCCAUCUCCCUGACCUGUAACAGUAGCUUCCUUGAAUUGCAGGGUGGGAAUACAAAGUUGCAUCCUUUACAAUAUCAGUGUCAGCACAUACUUUUAUUGGUACCCCUAAAGGUCACUGACUGAUGUAAAUCAAUGCUAUUCCCAUUAGCACUAAAGAUUUUUUUAAACAGCCUCGGUGAAAAGCAUAUGAGAUAAAUGCUGAUAUGUUCUGAAGAGGUUCUUCUUUUGUAGCCAACUAAGAAUGUCUUUUUUGUUUGUUUUUCUUUGGGGGGGUGAACAAAGUAUUCCUUUUAGCAGCUCUCACCAGCCUGAGAGAAGGGAAAGCGAUCGAACAGGCUGCUGGGUUCCUGGCAAGCUGGCGAAGGGAAGGGAGAGACGUUUCACCUGCCUUUUGUGUGACUCGUGGAUCCUGGCACCUCUCUGGACGAUGGCACGGGGAUUGUUGUCUACAGAACGGCACGCUGUGACAAGCAGGGAGCCUGAUAAAAAAUCAGGCAUGUGACCCGAUGCUGCCCUGAGGACAGGGCUCUCCUAGAUCACCUAGGGCACUGCCUGCUGUGCAGCUUGCUAGACGCCGUCAUGUCUCUGAUGAGCUUUCAUGCAGCACCCUCUCCAAAAGUCCAGGAAAACACCUGAAAACACAACAGGGUUUUAACGCAUCAGUAAUCAGAAAUGGUACACAUUCACUAUUUCUGUUGAAACAAAUCAAUUAGGAACAAGACCACAACUGGUGAAAAGAACAUGGUAUAGUAAAGGUGCUAUAAUUUGCACCACAACAACUACACCACAUGUAAACGACAAAGCUAUACCAAUGCUCUGCUGAUCUGAGAUGUCCACCUUGUGACUACAGCCAGCACUGCUGUGUGUUCAUUAAUAUACGAAUCUGGUGUUAUUAAUCAAGCAAAACUAUAGCUGCUGCAGAAACAAAUUGCCCUGGGAAGAGCGAGCUGGUCUGCUGCUCUGUGCCAGCUCUCAGCCCCUGCUGGGGCCAGACAGAAUCACCCUCGCUGACCUCAGGCCUGCCUGGGCUCCGGGGCUUGGGCGACAUCUGCUGCUGAAGAGCACAAGGCAGCUCUGCUCCCCUAUUCGUGCUGCCCGCUAAUGAAAAAGGGACCAGAAAAUAAUGUGCAUGGAGGAAAAAAAAAAAAGGCAAUCGUUUUUGUCUGUGGAGAGGUCAGUUAUAAUAAAAAAUGAGACUGGUAGUAACUGAAA
This is a long non-coding RNA of Lepisosteus oculatus (spotted gar), 3096 nucleotides long. RefSeq lists it as uncharacterized. Lineage: Eukaryota; Metazoa; Chordata; Actinopteri; Semionotiformes; Lepisosteidae. The record is from RefSeq and is a predicted model, not a curated record.